CGCACCUUGCGCUCCUUGGUAUUCCGAGGAGCAUGCCUGUUUGAGUGUCAUGGUAUUCUCAACCUUCAUGCAUUUUUUCUUGUGCAGACGUCGGUUGGACUUGGAGGUUUGCAGGCGUGUCUUGUGCCCCUUGUGGGACGACGCCGGCUCCUCUGAAAAGCAUUAGCUUGAACUUUCACCGAGCGUGAUCCAGUGUGAUAAUUUGUCUGCGCUGUUUCUGUCGAGGUGCCGUUUGCACAAACGGUGUUCUGGCUUCAAACUGUCUGGACUUGUCGGACAAACACUUCUGAACAUCUGACCUCAAAUCAGGUAGGACUACCCGCUGAACUUAA
Molecule: unclassified non-coding RNA, 332 nt
Filed under: Metuloidea sp.
Lineage: Eukaryota; Fungi; Basidiomycota; Agaricomycetes; Polyporales; Steccherinaceae
Description: partial contains 5.8S ribosomal RNA, internal transcribed spacer 2, and large subunit ribosomal RNA
Source: RNAcentral